Molecule: ribosomal RNA, 824 nt
Filed under: uncultured crenarchaeote
Lineage: Archaea; Thermoproteati; Thermoproteota
Description: bacterial SSU rRNA
Rfam family: Archaeal small subunit ribosomal RNA
Source: RNAcentral
GUCACGCUAGUCAUAGGUGCGGAAUGGAGCACCUGGCGUACGGCUCAGUAACACGUAGUCAACCUGCCCUAAGGACGAAGACAACCACGGGAAACUGUGGCUAAUCUUCGAUAGGAAAUUUGGCCUGGAACGGUAUCUUUCCAAAAUCCGCUUCGCCGUGAAGUACGGGCCUUAGGAUGGGGCUGCGGCCGAUUAUGCUAGAUGGCGGUGUAAAGGACCACCAUGGCGACGAUCGGUAUGGGCAAUGGAAGUUGGAGCCCAGAGUCGCUCACUGAGACAAGGGAGCGAGCCUUACGAGGCUUAGCGGUCGCGAAAACUCGCCAAUGCACGAAAGUGUGAGUGGGCUACUCCAAGUGUCUUUCUUACGGAAGACUGUCGCCCAGUAUUACAAGCUGGGAAAGGAAGGAGAGGGCAAGGCUGGUGCCAGCCGCCGCGGUAAAACCAGCUCUUCGAGUGGUCAGGACGAAUAUUGGGUCUAAAGCGCUCGUAGCCGGACAUGUGGGUUCUUGGUUAAAUCCGACAGCAUAACUGUCGACCUGCUGGGAAUACCGCAAGUCUUGGGAGCGGGAGAGGAUAGAGGUAGUCGUAGGGCAGGGGUGAAAUCCAGUGAUCCUACGGCGACCACCGAUGGCGAAGGCAUCUAUCUGGAACGUCUCCGACGGUGUGGGGCGAAAGCUAGGGGAGCGACCCGGAUUAGAUACCCGGUUAGUCCUAGCCGUAAACGAUGCCGACUAGGUGUUGCAACGGCCAAGAGCCGUUGCGGUGCCACAGCGAAGGCGUUAAGUCGGCCACCUGGGGAGUACGGUCGCAAGACUGAAACUUAA